UUAAGCGACUAAGCGUACACGGUGGAUGCCCUGGCAGUCAGAGGCGAUGAAGGACGUGCUAAUCUGCGAAAAGCGUCGGUAAGGUGAUAUGAACCGUUAUAACCGGCGAUGUCCGAAUGGGGAAACCCAGUGUGAUUCGUCACACUAUCGUUAACUGAAUACAUAGGUUAACGAGGCGAACCGGGGGAACUGAAACAUCUAAGUACCCCGAGGAAAAGAAAUCAACCGAGAUUCCCCCAGUAGCGGCGAGCGAACGGGGAGCAGCCCAGAGUCUGAAUCAGCUUGUGUGUUAGUGGAACGGUCUGGAAAGUCCGACGGUACAGGGUGAUAGUCCCGUACACCAAAAUGCACAGGUUGUGAACUCGAAGAGUAGGGCGGGACACGUGGUAUCCUGUCUGAAUAUGGGGGGACCAUCCUCCAAGGCUAAAUACUCCUGACUGACCGAUAGUGAACCAGUACCGUGAGGGAAAGGCGAAAAGAACCCCGGCGAGGGGAGUGAAAAAGAACCUGAAACCGUGUACGUACAAGCAGUGGGAGCACCUUCGGGUGUGACUGCGUACCUUUUGUAUAAUGGGUCAGCGACUUAUAUUCUGUAGCAAGGUUAACCGUAUAGGGGAGCCGCAGGGAAACCGAGUCUUAACUGGGCGUUAAGUUGCAGGGUAUAGACCCGAAACCCGGUGAUCUAGCCAUGGGCAGGUUGAAGGUUGGGUAACACUAACUGGAGGACCGAACCGACUAAUGUUGAAAAAUUAGCGGAUGACUUGUGGCUGGGGGUGAAAGGCCAAUCAAACCGGGAGAUAGCUGGUUCUCCCCGAAAGCUAUUUAGGUAGCGCCUCGUGAACUCAUCUUCGGGGGUAGAGCACUGUUUCGGCUAGGGGGUCAUCCCGACUUACCAACCCGAUGCAAACUACGAAUACCGAAGAAUGUUAUCACGGGAGACACACGGCGGGUGCUAACGUCCGUCGUGAAGAGGGAAACAACCCAGACCGCCAGCUAAGGUCCCAAAGUCAUGGUUAAGUGGGAAACGAUGUGGGAAGGCACAGACAGCCAGGAUGUUGGCUUAGAAGCAGCCAUCAUUUAAAGAAAGCGUAAUAGCUCACUGGUCGAGUCGGCCUGCGCGGAAGAUGUAACGGGGCUAAACCAUGCACCGAAGCUGCGGCAGCGACACUAUGUGUUGUUGGGUAGGGGAGCGUUCUGUAAGCCUGCGAAGGUGUGCUGUGAGGCAUGCUGGAGGUAUCAGAAGUGCGAAUGCUGACAUAAGUAACGAUAAAGCGGGUGAAAAGCCCGCUCGCCGGAAGACCAAGGGUUCCUGUCCAACGUUAAUCGGGGCAGGGUGAGUCGACCCCUAAGGCGAGGCCGAAAGGCGUAGUCGAUGGGAAACAGGUUAAUAUUCCUGUACUUGGUGUUACUGCGAAGGGGGGACGGAGAAGGCUAUGUUAGCCGGGCGACGGUUGUCCCGGUUUAAGCAUGUAGGCUGGUUGUCCAGGCAAAUCCGGAUAAUCAAGGCUGAGGUGUGAUGACGAGGCACUACGGUGCUGAAGUAACAAAUGCCCUGCUUCCAGGAAAAGCCUCUAAGCAUCAGGUAACAUUAAAUCGUACCCCAAACCGACACAGGUGGUCAGGUAGAGAAUACCAAGGCGCUUGAGAGAACUCGGGUGAAGGAACUAGGCAAAAUGGUGCCGUAACUUCGGGAGAAGGCACGCUGGUGUGUAGGUGAAGUCCCUGCGGAUGGAGCUGAGACCAGUCGAAGAUACCAGCUGGCUGCAACUGUUUAUUAAAAACACAGCACUGUGCAAACACGAAAGUGGACGUAUACGGUGUGACGCCUGCCCGGUGCCGGAAGGUUAAUUGAUGGGGUUAUCCGUAAGGAGAAGCUCUUGAUCGAAGCCCCGGUAAACGGCGGCCGUAACUAUAACGGUCCUAAGGUAGCGAAAUUCCUUGUCGGGUAAGUUCCGACCUGCACGAAUGGCGUAAUGAUGGCCAGGCUGUCUCCACCCGAGACUCAGUGAAAUUGAACUCGCUGUGAAGAUGCAGUGUACCCGCGGCAAGACGGAAAGACCCCGUGAACCUUUACUAUAGCUUGACACUGAACAUUGAGCCUUGAUGUGUAGGAUAGGUGGGAGGCUUUGAAGCGUGGACGCCAGUCUGCGUGGAGCCAACCUUGAAAUACCACCCUUUAAUGUUUGAUGUUCUAACGUUGGCCCCUUACCGGGGUUGCGGACAGUGUCUGGUGGGUAGUUUGACUGGGGCGGUCUCCUCCCAAAGCGUAACGGAGGAGCACGAAGGUUAGCUAAUCCUGGUCGGACAUCAGGAGGUUAGUGCAAUGGCAUAAGCUAGCUUGACUGCGAGCGUGACGGCGCGAGCAGGUGCGAAAGCAGGUCAUAGUGAUCCGGUGGUUCUGAAUGGAAGGGCCAUCGCUCAACGGAUAAAAGGUACUCCGGGGAUAACAGGCUGAUACCGCCCAAGAGUUCAUAUCGACGGCGGUGUUUGGCACCUCGAUGUCGGCUCAUCACAUCCUGGGGCUGAAGUAGGUCCCAAGGGUAUGGCUGUUCGCCAUUUAAAGUGGUACGCGAGCUGGGUUUAGAACGUCGUGAGACAGUUCGGUCCCUAUCUGCCGUGGGCGCUGGAGAAUUGAGGGGGGCUGCUCCUAGUACGAGAGGACCGGAGUGGACGCAUCACUGGUGUUCGGGUUGUCAUGCCAAUGGCACUGCCCGGUAGCUAAAUGCGGAAGAGAUAAGUGCUGAAAGCAUCUAAGCACGAAACUUGCCCCGAGAUGAGUUCUCCCUGAGACUUUAAGUCUCCUGAAGGAACGUUGAAGACGACGACGUUGAUAGGCCGGGUGUGUAAGCGCAGCGAUGCGUUGAGCUAACCGGUACUAAUGAACCGUGAGGCUUAACCUU
Molecule: ribosomal RNA, 2900 nt
Filed under: Klebsiella pneumoniae UCICRE 2
Lineage: Bacteria; Pseudomonadati; Pseudomonadota; Gammaproteobacteria; Enterobacterales; Enterobacteriaceae
Description: bacterial LSU rRNA
Rfam family: Bacterial large subunit ribosomal RNA
Source: RNAcentral